UACGGAGGAGGCAAGCGUUAUCCGGAAUUAUUGGGCGUAAAGCGUCCGCAGGUGGCACUUCAAGUCUGUCGUCAAAGACUGGGGCUUAACCCUGGAAAGGCGGUGGAAACUGAAGCGCUAGAGUGCGGUAGAGGGUGGUGGAAUUCCCGGUGUAGCAGUGAAAUGCGUAGAGAUCGGGAGGAACAUCUGUGGCGAAGGCGGCCACCUGGACCAGCACUGACACUGAGGCACGAAAGCGUGGGGAGCAAACAGG
Molecule: ribosomal RNA, 253 nt
Filed under: uncultured bacterium
Lineage: Bacteria
Description: partial 16S ribosomal RNA
Rfam family: Bacterial small subunit ribosomal RNA
Source: RNAcentral